This 365-nucleotide ribosomal RNA is filed under the name uncultured bacterium. Its description in RNAcentral is "bacterial SSU rRNA". It matches the Rfam family "Bacterial small subunit ribosomal RNA", at positions 118 to 520 of the family's 1533-position model. The record is from RNAcentral.
UGGGAACUACCUUUGGUUCGGAACAACACAGGGAAACUUGUGCUAAUACCGGAUAAGCCCUUACGGGGAAAGAUUUAUCGCCGAAAGAUCGGCCCGCGUCUGAUUAGCUAGUUGGUGAGGUAAUGGCUCACCAAGGCGACGAUCAGUAGCUGGUCUGAGAGGAUGAUCAGCCACAUUGGGACUGAGACACGGCCCAAACUCCUACGGGAGGCAGCAGUGGGGAAUAUUGGACAAUGGGGGCAACCCUGAUCCAGCCAUGCCGCGUGAGUGAUGAAGGCCCUACGGUUGUAAAGCUCUUUUGUGCGGGAAGAUAAUGACGGUACCGCAAGAAUAAGCCCCGGCUAACUUCGUGCCAGCAGCCGCGG